GUGGGGAAUAUUGGACAAUGGGCGAAAGCCUGAUCCAGCCAUGCCGCGUGAGUGAUGAAGGCCUUAGGGUUGUAAAGCUCUUUCAGUAGGGAAGAUAAUGACGGUACCUACAGAAGAAGCCCCGGCUAACUUCGUGCCAGCAGCCGCGGUAAUACGAAGGGGGCUAGCGUUGUUCGGAUUUACUGGGCGUAAAGCGCACGUAGGCGGAUUGGUCAGUUAGGGGUGAAAUCCCAGAGCUCAACGCUGGAACUGCCCUUAAUACUGCCAAUCUAGAGUCCGGAAGAGGUGAGUGGAACUCCUAGUGUAGAGGUGGAAUUCGUAGAUAUUAGGAAGAACACCAGUGGCGAAGGCGGCUCACUGGUCCGGUACUGACGCUGAGGUGCGAAAGCGUGGGGAGCAAACAGGAUUAGAAACCCGAGUAGUCC
RNAcentral lists this ribosomal RNA (425 nucleotides) under uncultured bacterium. RNAcentral describes it as "partial 16S ribosomal RNA". It matches the Rfam family "Bacterial small subunit ribosomal RNA", at positions 354 to 796 of the family's 1533-position model. The record is from RNAcentral.